Molecule: unclassified non-coding RNA, 251 nt
Filed under: uncultured fungus
Lineage: Eukaryota; Fungi
Description: partial contains 5.8S ribosomal RNA, internal transcribed spacer 2, and large subunit ribosomal RNA
Source: RNAcentral
AACGCACAUUGCGCCCGCCAGCACUCUGGCGGGCAUGCCUGUCCGAGCGUCAUUUCAACCCUCGAGCACCGCUCGGCGUUGGGGGAGCGGCCGCGCGCCGCCCCCCGAAAUGCAGUGGCGACACCGCCGCGUCCUCCCCUGCGCAGUAGCUCCACAGAGAAACCUCGCACCGGCGGCGCGGCGGCUGUCACGCCGUGAAACGUCCACCUAGAGUUGACCUCGGAUCAGGUAGGGAUACCCGCUGAACUUAA